UACGUAGGGGGCUAGCGUUGUCCGGAAUCAUUGGGCGUAAAGCGCACGUAGGCGGCUUUGUAAGUUAGAGGUGAAAGCCCGGAGCUCAACUCCGGAACUGCCUUUAAGACUGCAUCGCUUGAAUCCAGGAGAGGUGAGUGGAAUUCCGAGUGUAGCGGUGAAAUGCGUAGAUAUUGGGAGGAACACCAGUGGCGAAGGCGGCUCACUGGACCGGAACUGACGCUGAGGCGCGAAAGCGUGGGGAGCAAACAGG
RNAcentral lists this ribosomal RNA (253 nucleotides) under uncultured bacterium. RNAcentral's name for it is "partial 16S ribosomal RNA". It matches the Rfam family "Bacterial small subunit ribosomal RNA", at positions 524 to 776 of the family's 1533-position model. The record is from RNAcentral.